Molecule: ribosomal RNA, 253 nt
Filed under: uncultured bacterium
Lineage: Bacteria
Description: partial 16S ribosomal RNA
Rfam family: Bacterial small subunit ribosomal RNA
Source: RNAcentral
UACGAAGGGGGCUAGCGUUGUUCGGAAUUACUGGGCGUAAAGCGCACGCAGGCGGCUCGUUAAAUUAGAAGUGAAAGCCCUGGGCUCAACCCGGGAAUAGCUUUUGAAACUGGCGAGCUAGAAUUCGGGAGAGGGUAGUGGAAUUCCAAGUGUAGAGGUGAAAUUCGUAGAUAUUUGGAAGAACACCGGUGGCGAAGGCGGCUACCUGGCCCGAUAUUGACGCUCAUGUGCGAAAGCGUGGGGAGCAAACAGG